This is a long non-coding RNA of Lates calcarifer (barramundi perch), 5026 nucleotides long. RefSeq lists it as uncharacterized. The transcript has 3 exons. NCBI's taxonomy places the organism in Eukaryota, Metazoa, Chordata, Actinopteri, Centropomidae. The record is from RefSeq and is a predicted model, not a curated record.
GAGAGGAAGGAAGAGAAAAGGGAAGAUGAAGAGAAAAAGAGAAAGGAGUGAAAAAUAGAGUAGGAGUGAGUCUACCUGUUGGAAGUAGUUUUGAGUCAGAGGAAGAACCCUUCUUUAUUAGCAUAGGGACAAAAUAAGAGCAAUGAGUCAAAUAUGAAUAAUAACAUAAAGACAGUUAUAAGUGGGCCAGUAUCUAGACAAUGUUUUCUGUAGUUCCUACAGCAGUGGAACUCUUUCUCUGUUUUCCACUAUAAAUUAGCAUAAAGAGCGAAAUGCACCAUCUGCUUUCCUCGCUGCAUAAGUUAAAUAGGCCAUUAGGAAAUGCAGAGAAUCACACACCUAUGAUUAAACUGGAGCGUUAUGCAAAAGGAAUAACAUGAUGUUUAAAAACCUGUAGGAGAAUUAAAGAUAGAGAAAGAAGGGCUCCAGGUGGAAACGAUCAAAGAUGGAAACUAAAGCCGGGGCACAGAAGCCAUUUGGUGUACACAUACUCACCACAUACACCCACACUCCUAUUUGUAUGCUCAUACAAAUGAACAACAAAAAUGGUAAGUUAAAAUAUGUAGUGUUCCAUUAGCACCAGUGUUUAAAAGCCUGAUUUCCCCCACCAUUCUCAGGUGACAUACAUAUCAACCCAUACAAACACACCAAGUGUAGCCAUUUUCCCACAGCUGCAUGUGUGUCCCCACAGAGAGCCAUGCAAUAAUAAUGAAGAAAAGAGCAGCAGAAAAAGAAGCAGGUUCUAAAUUCAGACUCUUUUCAGACAGAAUUUAUUAAUGUUUGACUGUUCCUGCUGUACGAAUGAGACAUUAGCAUACUUGUGGACCCGGUGUCUUUGAUAGGGCCUGGUUUGGUUUACAUUUCUGGCCCUUGUUUAUUUACUCAUUUCAAUUAGGCUUCCAGUGAGAGAAGAGAGGAAUCAAAGGAAGGAAGAGAGGUGCAGGUUUGAUUUCUGCUGUGUGUUGAGAGUUAGCUGAGCUGCCAGCUUUUUGUUCUUGACUCUGCAAACAAGUCAUCCCAAUAUCCACAACACUGCUGUGUAUAGAGACUCUUAAGGCCACACAGACUCACAGUUAAUUACACAGAAUUACCAAAAUGAACGUAUUAAGAGGGGAAAUCUCCAUUUCAACACACUGUUGGCAUUUUGAAAUAAAGUACCAGAAUUGGUUAUAUGAAGUCCUCUUUCUCUAAUUGCACCUCUAUUAUUUUAAACAAGCAAUUUUCCUUUCCAUUGCUCCCUCACAAUAGGGUUUAUCAUUAAAUGGCUGAAGUUCAUUUCGCACACCUGUUUUGAAGGAUAAUUUCUUAUGACGCACCUGUUUUGAAGAUAUGUAAUUUAAUUUCCUAUUUAGGUCACAGUAAAGGCUGAAAUGUGAGUGCUGGAUUGCUGACUAGAGCAGGGUACAAAAAGUACAACAAUUCUGGUGAAAACUGCUAUUAUGACGCUAUUCCUGCAGUUAUAAAAGUUGUUGUCUGAGAGGAACAAGGAAACUAUUUGUACAAAUGGCCGCUAGUCAUUGUACCCUGGCUCAUUAUGACAGUGAAGUUGAUAACAUCACCUGAGAGCAGACUGUUUGAUCAAGUUUUAUACUGAACAGGAUCCAGCCAGGAAGAAAAGGUCAUGUAAUUUUGCAUUUCCUCUUUAAGAAUGCAUGUUACACACUGAACAAUAAUCCAGAUGGAUCUGAAAUGACAGAUGUGAUCAAACAAGUCAGUUACGCUAGUGUGAUCCCUGUAAAUAAAGGCAGGUCCCCGGAGCAGGAUGAUGUAAAAAGCCCUGUGUGCUCUGUCUAUUCAAUGUGUUUAUACUCAUGUGUAUGUGUGUGUAGGAAGGGUGCUCCCAGUGACGCACAAGGGCAGUUUGGCAUUACGCAAUGUAGAGCCAAAGCAAUCUGGCAAUCCUGGGGUGGGGCUGGAACUUCCAGGAGUUGUAUGGGACAAGGCAGGACAGGACAGGAUGGAACGUGGGAGGGCAGGACAGUGGCGUGUGAGGCAACAGGAAACAGCAAUGCCUUCUCAGUGCACUCCCUUUAGAUGACACAUUUGUUUCUACACACACAGUAUUAGUAAGCAAGUAUAAUAACAUUUACAUAAAUAAUAAUAAUUAAAAAAAAAAAAACCUUCUGGGACUCACAAAAAAUGCCUGAUGCUCACACACUUGUUUUCUUAUAAAGACAAAAGACAAAGAGGAAAAUCUUUAGUGCUCCAGAGAGAGAAGUCAAAAGACUCCCAGCACUGACCCAGUCAGACUGGAUACUCCCCAGCCUCAUGUCCUCCCCACUGACUCUCCAGUGAGAUCACAGUGCCCUGAAAUCCACACACAAACACACACUUCAUGCACAUAGACAGUCUCCUCAAGCACAAUGUCAGUGUGGUCAAGAAAGACUAUAUUCCUCUUGCUCACACUUUCCAGCUCUAUCUCAGGUAAUGUGUGUUUGGUAAACACAGACAGACAGCCUGCCAACAGAGAGCAUUGCGUGACUUGGAGUACCUGCUCUCUCUCACUCUCCCUGUGUCUAAUGCUGUGUCACUGCUUCUCAACUUACACAAAAGCCCAGUCCUCUUAUGUUGUCCAGGUGACUCACCAUUAAUCUGCAGCUCAGCCCUCAACAUCUAGGUAGCUGCUCUCUAUCUUAUUUUGUUACUGACUUCAUGACACACACGGAUAAAAAGACAGACAGACAGACAGACAGACACACACACACACACACCUCAUCUCCUAUGAAGACAUUGUGGAUAAUUAAUGACAGGUAAAAAACAUGCAGUGGAGAAGUAUUUCUAACUCUGUGAGAGCAUUUUUCCAUCUUAUACACUGUUUACUACAAACAAAGUCGUGGUGAGGGUUUAUGUCUGAGUACUGAAAUAACUAUACCAACUCCUAACUGUGUCUACUUUGAGAUCUGCCUAAUGCUUAAAUACACAUCAGCACUGACUCAAAGUUACUCUCUCUGACCCCAUGGGAUCUACAAUGGAGGCAGCAUUGUUGGCAUUCCUGUGGCGACCUGCACUAACCAACGCUUGGCCUCCAAAAUGAGUGGGAUCCCCACUCCUGGAUAGUAUAUCAUCACUGCAGAACAGAGCACAUGCCAGUGAGAGCACACAGUUGGAACAGAGAACUACUGUCAAACAACCAAAUGACAGGGAUCGGCUACAAGCAUGGCGGUUGCUGAAGCACAUGAACGGAAAGGAGCUUCCUCUCAGUGCCACAGUGAGAACAAAGUGUGCGUCAGUGUGCCCACUGAAGGAGGAUGUGAAAGCUGGCAGGCCAGUAGCUGCUGCUGUGAAGAGCUACUGACACAAACUGUCAACCUCCUUCUCUGGUCCAGAGGAUCUAGCAUCAUUUUUAUAAUUUUUAUAACAGUCUUGAAUUUUUCUCGAAUUUUCACUUUACAUACAGACAAUACUUUCUUUUGUAUGUGACCUUGUAUGUCACAGUGACAGUGUUAUUUGUAUUAGUUCUGUGGGCACACACUCAUAGCAUAAUGUAACAGUGCAAGUGUUCAUUCUAUAUGCGGAAACAGUGGAGUGAAUGCACUCAUGAAAUUUCAUCACAUAAUCACGUGUCAAAAACUACCUUCCAUUACAAAGCAGUCGCACACAUAGUCAGAUUCAAAGUGCAGCAAUCUGUUGGUUAUAAUUAAAUAAAGAAAUAAAACACUGAAUUUUGUCCCUGAAUUACUUCCAAAAUUGAAUGUUGCACACUAGGCUACAGUUGAAAUUAGUAAAAAUCAAAGUGGUACGGGGAAAUUACACAAUCCCCUGCUUAUUUUUUUAGAUGUGAGACCCCAACAGAUGCACCCCAUAAUCAUCCCAGCCACCAGUCGUGGCAUGGAUGCCUCUUGUUAGUUUAUGGUGGCAUAUGUAGUUGCUUCCAAAUCCCCAAGCCAGACAUUAAUGGGUGACCAUAAACUGACCAGUUCUCAGUGACCACGACCACAGGACAGGUCCAGUCAUUAACAGGUCGCUGUGGUUGUCAAGGGCCAUUUAAGCACAUUAGACACGGUCCGGCUAGCAUAACCUGUUAACCACUUCUUACAGUGGGAGACUGCUGGAGGCAAAACAGGAUAAACAUUAGAGGUUAGUUCGUUAUGAAGAAGCCCUGGUCAGGAUCUCUGAGGGAGGUAAGAGAACGCUGGACUGAGGCCAGUGAUGGAGCACAGACAGAGGGGGGGGGGGGUGUAGAAGUGGGUGGCAAGCACACACACGUACGUACAUACACACACACACACACACACAUAUAUACACACACAGAGAGAUGUUGGAGGUUAGAGGGGGCUGAUCCCAGUGAUUUAUCUGUGUGGUUGCCAUAUGACCAUAUGUUCAGAAACCUCUCCCUGACUAGCAGACAGACAGACACACUCACUCUGACCCCCCACUGAGCAAUAAGCUAUACACUGGAAAGAUAACACUUUCAUUUCAAUCCAAAUUAUUUGUGAUUUAAUGUACAAAUUCAGGACUUAGUGUCAAAUCAAAUAACCUCAAAAAACCUCAAUGUACAUGCUAAGAGGGAAACUGAAUGUAAAUAUGUUGACAUUUGAUUAUCAUUAUUAUCUAAUGAUGUGUUUCAGUGAUGGCUGAAAAAACAUGUUUAGUCUUUACUGCUAUGCUUUGUUUGCUUCUAAGCCACUACAGUUUAAUAAUCACUGUAAUUCAGUCUGUUAAAUAUUGUUACCUUUCGAACAGAUUCAAAUGGGAACCCUUUAUUUCCAUGAUUUGCCUUUAUUUUCAAUUUUGUUGUGUAUGAUCAGUCAGACCUGAAAAAAAAACUGUAAUAAUCUCAAAAAGUUCAGUGUUUUUAUAGUGAAAAUGCCAAACAUUCUCUGGUUGCAGCUUUUCAGUUGUGGGGAUUUCCUGCUUGUCUUUGACUUUUUUGAUAGUAAAUCAAAUAUCUUUGGAUUUCUAGUGGCUAGUUGGACAAAGCAAACCGUAUGAAAACAUCACCUUAAACUUUGGGGCUUUGUGAUGGGCAUUUUUCACAAUUUUUCUCACAUCUUAUAAAAAAAAAUAAUUGUCAAAAACGUAAAUU